CUACGGGAGGCAGCAGUGGGGAAUAUUGCACAAUGGGCGCAAGCCUGAUGCAGCCAUGCCGCGUGUAUGAAGAAGGCCGUUCGGGUUGUAAAGUACUUUCAGCAGUGAGGAAGGUGGGUAUGUUAAUAGCAUAUUCAUUUGACGUUAGCUGCAGAAGAAGCACCGGCUAACUCCGUGCCCAGCAGCCGCGGUAAUACGGAGGGUGCGAGCGUUAAUCGGAAUUACUGGGCGUAAAGCGCAUGCAGGUGGUUUGUUAAGUCAGAUGUGAAAGCCCCGGGGCUCAAACCUCGGAAUUGCAUUUGAAACUGGCAAACUAGAGUACUGUAGAGGGGGUAGAAUUUCAGGUGUAGCGGUGAAAUGCGUAGAGAUCUGAAGGAAUACCGGUGGCGAAGGCGGCCCCCUGGACAGAUACUGACACUCAGAUGCGAAAGCGUGGGGAGCAAACAGGAUUAGAUACCCUGGUAG
This 465-nucleotide ribosomal RNA is filed under the name uncultured bacterium. Its description in RNAcentral is "bacterial SSU rRNA". It matches the Rfam family "Bacterial small subunit ribosomal RNA", at positions 339 to 793 of the family's 1533-position model. The record is from RNAcentral.